This 844-nucleotide ribosomal RNA is filed under the name uncultured Actinomyces sp. RNAcentral describes it as "bacterial SSU rRNA". It matches the Rfam family "Bacterial small subunit ribosomal RNA", at positions 28 to 847 of the family's 1533-position model. Lineage: Bacteria; Bacillati; Actinomycetota; Actinomycetes; Actinomycetales; Actinomycetaceae. The record is from RNAcentral.
GACGAACGCUGGCGGCGUGCUUAACACAUGCAAGUCGAACGCUGAAGCCCAGCUUGCUGGGUGGAUGAGUGGCGAACGGGUGAGUAACACGUGAGUAACCUGCCCCCUUCUUUGGGAUAACGCCCGGAAACGGGUGCUAAUACUGGAUAUUCACUUGCUUUCGCAUGGGGGUUGGUGGAAAGGUUUUUUCUGGUGGGGGAUGGGUUCGCGGCCUAUCAGCUUGUUGGUGGGGUGAUGGCCUACCAAGGCUUUGACGGGUAGCCGGCCUGAGAGGGUGACCGGUCACAUUGGGACUGAGAUACGGCCCAGACUCCUACGGGAGGCAGCAGUGGGGAAUAUUGCACAAUGGGCGAAAGCCUGAUGCAGCGACGCCGCGUGAGGGAUGACGGCCUUCGGGUUGUAAACCUCUUUCGCUCAUGGUCAAGCCGCAGCUUUGGGUUGUGGUGAGGGUAGUGGGUAAAGAAGCGCCGGCUAACUACGUGCCAGCAGCCGCGGUAAUACGUAGGGCGCGAGCGUUGUCCGGAAUUAUUGGGCGUAAAGGGCUUGUAGGCGGUUGGUCGCGUCUGCCGUGAAAUCCUCUGGCUUAACUGGGGGGCGUGCGGUGGGUACGGGCUGACUUGAGUGCGGUAGGGGGAGACUGGAACUCCUGGUGUAGCGGUGGAAUGCGCAGAUAUCACGGACAACACCGGUGGCGAAGGGGGGUCUCUGGGCCGUUACUGACGCUUAUGAGCGAAAGCGUGGGGAGCGAACAGGAUUUAUAUACCCCUGGUAUUCCCAUGGCGAUUUCCACAGUGGAUAUGAAGCCUAAUCGUCCCGGCGGGCGGGAUUGGCGGUUUUGUUUUCA